UUGCACGCUGGCGGCCUGCCUUACACAUGCAAGUCGAACGGCAGCACGGGUGCUUGCACCUGGUGGCGAGUGGCGAACGGGUGAGUAAUACAUCGGAACAUGUCCUGUAGUGGGGGAUAGCCCGGCGAAAGCCGGAUUAAUACCGCAUACGAUCCACGGAUGAAAGCGGGGGACCUUCGGGCCUCGCGCUAUAGGGUUGGCCGAUGGCUGAUUAGCUAGUUGGUGGGGUAAAGGCCUACCAAGGCGACGAUCAGUAGCUGGUCUGAGAGGACGACCAGCCACACUGGGACUGAGACACGGCCCAGACUCCUACGGGAGGCAGCAGUGGGGAAUUUUGGACAAUGGGCGAAAGCCUGAUCCAGCAAUGCCGCGUGUGUGAAGAAGGCCUUCGGGUUGUAAAGCACUUUUGUCCGGAAAGAAAUCCUUGGCUCUAAUACAGUCGGGGGAUGACGGUACCGGAAGAAUAAGCACCGGCUAACUACGUG
RNAcentral lists this ribosomal RNA (485 nucleotides) under uncultured bacterium. RNAcentral's name for it is "partial 16S ribosomal RNA". It matches the Rfam family "Bacterial small subunit ribosomal RNA", at positions 30 to 507 of the family's 1533-position model. The record is from RNAcentral.